RNAcentral lists this ribosomal RNA (301 nucleotides) under uncultured bacterium. RNAcentral describes it as "partial 16S ribosomal RNA". It matches the Rfam family "Bacterial small subunit ribosomal RNA", at positions 509 to 807 of the family's 1533-position model. The record is from RNAcentral.
CAGCAGCCGCGGUAAAACAGAGGGUGCGAGCGUUAAUCGGAUUUACUGGGCGUAAAGCGUGCGUAGGCGGCUUCUUAAGUCGGAUGUGAAAUCCCUGAGCUUAACUUAGGAAUUGCAUUCGAUACUGGGAAGCUAGAGUAUGGGAGAGGAUGGUAGAAUUCCAGGUGUAGCGGUGAAAUGCGUAGAGAUCUGGAGGAAUACCGAUGGCGAAGGCAGCCAUCUGGCCUAAUACUGACGCUGAGGUACGAAAGCAUGGGGAGCAAACAGGAUUAGAUACCCCGGUAGUCCCUGUCUCUUAUAC